CCGCGAUUCGCCCUUCGGGGCGCAGCAGGCGCGAAAACUUUACAAUGCUGGCAACAGCGAUAAGGGGACCUCGAGUGCCAGGAUACAAUCUUGGCUGUCGCGAUGCCUAAAAAGCAUUGCAUAGCAAGGGCCGGGCAAGACCGGUGCCAGCCGCCGCGGUAACACCGGCGGCUCGAGUGGUAACCGCUAUUAUUGGGUCUAAAGGGUCUGUAGCCGGCCGGAUAAGUCUUUUGGGAAAUCCGGCUGCUCAACAGUUGGGCUUUCAGAAGAUACUGUUCGGCUCGAGACCGGGAGAGGUGAGAGGUACUUCAGGGGUAGGGGUGAAAUCUUGUAAUCCUUGAAGGACCACCAGUGGCGAAGGCGUCUCACCAGAACGGAUCUGACGGCAAGGGACGAAAGCUAGGGGCACGAACCGGAUUAGAUACCCGGGUAGUCCUAGCCGUAAACGAUACUCGCUAGGUGUCAGCCACGGUGCGACCGUGGUUGGUGCCGUAGGGAAGCCGUGAAGCGAGCCACCUGGGAAGUACGGCCGCAAGGCUGAAACUUAAAGGAAUUGGCGGGGGAGCAC
Molecule: ribosomal RNA, 568 nt
Filed under: uncultured archaeon
Lineage: Archaea
Description: bacterial SSU rRNA
Rfam family: Archaeal small subunit ribosomal RNA
Source: RNAcentral